AGUGAACGCUGGCGGUAGGCCUAACACAUGCAAGUCGAACGGCAGCACAGUAAGAUCUUGCUCUUACGGGUGGCGAGUGGCGGACGGGUGAGGAAUACAUCGGAAUCUACUUUUUCGUGGGGGAUAACGUAAAGAAACUUACGCUAAUACCGCAUACGACCUACGGGAGGAAGCAGGAGAUCUUCGGACCUUUCGCGAUUGAAUGAGCCGAUGUCGCAUUAGCUAGUUGGCGGGGUAAAGGCCCACCAAGGCGACGAUCCGUAGCGGGUCUGAGAGGAUGAUCAGCCACACUGGAACUGAGACACGGUCCAGACUCCUACGGGAGGCAGCAGUGGGGAAUAUUGGACAAUGGGCGAAAGCCUGAUCCAGCCAUACCGCGUGGGUGAAGAAGGCCUUCGGGUUGUAAAGCCCUUUUGUUGGGAAAGAAAAGCAGUAGGUGAAUCCCCCGCUGUUCUGACGGUACCUAAAGAAUAAGCACCGGCUAACUUCGUG
RNAcentral lists this ribosomal RNA (492 nucleotides) under uncultured bacterium. RNAcentral's name for it is "partial 16S ribosomal RNA". It matches the Rfam family "Bacterial small subunit ribosomal RNA", at positions 29 to 507 of the family's 1533-position model. The record is from RNAcentral.